GAUGAACGCUGACAGAAUGCUUAACACAUGCAAGUCUUUGGCAAAGCUGUGCUUGCACAGCCUAGCCAAGUCGGACGGGUGAGUAACGCGUAAGGAACUUGCCCUGCAGUCAGGGAUAACAGACGGAAACGACUGAUAAGACCUGGUAAAGUCAGACGGACUCAUGUCCAGCCUGAUGAAAAGAGAUGCUGCAGGAGAGCCUUGCGUCCUAUUAGCUUGUUGGUGGGGUAACGGCCCAACAAGGCGAUGAUAGGUAGCCGGCCUGAGAGGGUGGACGGCCACAAGGGGACUGAGAUACGGCACUUACUCCUACGGGAGGCAGCAGUGGGGAAUAUUGGACAAUGGGGGCAACCCUGAUCCAGCAAUUCUGUGUGCACGAUGAAGGUUUUCGGAUUGUAAAGUGCUUUCAGCAGGGAAGAAAAAAAUGACGGUACCUGCAGAAGAAGCGACGGCUAAAUACGUG
This 463-nucleotide ribosomal RNA is filed under the name uncultured bacterium. RNAcentral describes it as "partial 16S ribosomal RNA". It matches the Rfam family "Bacterial small subunit ribosomal RNA", at positions 28 to 507 of the family's 1533-position model. The record is from RNAcentral.